Molecule: ribosomal RNA, 414 nt
Filed under: uncultured prokaryote
Description: bacterial SSU rRNA
Rfam family: Bacterial small subunit ribosomal RNA
Source: RNAcentral
GUGCCAGCAGCCGCGGUAAUACGGAGGGGGCGAGCGUUGUUCGGAGUCACUGGGCGUAAAGCGCACGUAGGCGGUGCGGUAAGUCUGGGGUCAAAGGCUACGGCUCAACCGUAGUAAGGCCUCAGAUACUAUCGUGCUAGAGUGCCGGAGAGGGUAGCGGAAUUCCCUGUGUAGCGGUGAAAUGCGUAGAUAUAGGGAGGAACACCGGUUGCGAAGGCGGCUACCUGGCCGGUAACUGACGCUGAGGUGCGAGAGCGUGGGGAGCAAACAGGAUUAGAUACCCUGGUAGUCCACGCUGUAAACGAUGGGCGCUAGGUGUUGGUGGUUAGUAGCCAUCAGUGCCGAAGCUAACGCGUUAAGCGCCCCGCCUGGGGAGUACGCUCGCAAGAGUGAAACUCAAAUGAAUUGACGGGG